AACGAACGCUGGCGGCAUGCCUAACACAUGCAAGUCGAACGAGACCUUCGGGUCUAGUGGCGCACGGGUGCGUAACGCGUGGGAACCUGCCCUUAGGUUCGGAAUAACUCCCCGACGGGGGUGCUAAUACCGGAUAAUGUCUUCGGACCAAAGAUUUAUCGCCUUUGGAUGGGCGCGCGUUGGUUUAGCUAGUUGGUAGGGUAAAAGCCUACCACGGCGAGGAUCCAUAGCUGGUCAGAGAGAAAGAUCAGCCACACUGAGACGGGGACACGGCCCAGAAUCUUACGGGAGGCAGGAGAGGGGAAUACAGGACAAUGGGCGAAAGGCUGAUCCAGCUAGGCCGCGUGAGUGAUGAAGGCCUUAGGGAAGUAAAGCUCUUUUACCCGGGAUGAUAAUGACAGUACCGGGAGAAUAAGCUCCGGCUAACUCCGUG
This 433-nucleotide ribosomal RNA is filed under the name uncultured bacterium. Its description in RNAcentral is "partial 16S ribosomal RNA". It matches the Rfam family "Bacterial small subunit ribosomal RNA", at positions 29 to 507 of the family's 1533-position model. The record is from RNAcentral.